UGGGGGGGAAGGGUUAGCCGAUGACAUUUUGGGGAAUAAAAAUCAAAUUUUAGAUCACCCCUUUAAAAGCGGUCGUGAAGCCCAUCGCCAUGUUGACUCCCACAGUUCGCAUGCGUGCAUAAAUUAAUAUUGGACCAACGAACUUUAUCAAAUACAAAGUACACAGCUCACCAUUUGCUCGCGGCUCCUCGAACUCAUUAGCGAUCGGUGCAUUUAAUGUUCAGAAGUUUUUAAGUUUGACGCGACCGUUACGUAACAAUGGAGUGGGGCGGUAGAUUCAGACUGGCAGGCACCGUGCUGGCAUUUGUAGGUGCUUGGCUGAUCCGCUUGUUGGUCGACUCCGCCAACAUGGGUCUGUAUAUGAGAAGCUGUCUGUUGGGACUGGUAGCAAGUCUCCUCCUGUUGGCCUCCGUGUUUGCUUUCCACAUGAGCAUCAUCCCGUGUUCUCCAGACCACACUCUGCCGUCGCUCCUGAGAUGCUACGUGAGCAACCAAGUCUACUCCUUGCGCUACCCAUUCAUCAAAGCCAAGCUGAGACGAGAGUGGAGAAGCCCGCAGCGUGCCCAGGAGACAUUUCUGCGUCAACUCAUCGCCCGAGACGCCGAGACCGAGUACGGACUGAAGUUCCGCCUGGGAGACAUAGAGAAUGUCGCCGAACUUCAGAGGAAACAUCCCCUGACUUCCUACGAGGAUUACAGGGAGUACAUGCAGAGGCUGGCUGACGGGGAGCGAGGCGUGUGUGUCGGGGAGGAGGUCGUCAGAUUUGGUAUCACCUCCGGUACAACCGGAGUCGGUAAGCUGAUCCCGAUCGUGGCAUCACGAACAAACGUGAUUUGGUUCUCGUUGUCGGAGGUAGUCUUCCCGGCCAAUGAAGCCUUCGGCCGGCCGAGUCCCCUGCAGCGCAGGUGCACCUUGUACUGCAAACCUACCCUGAAUCAGACCAAAUCUGGUCGUGUCGUCUCGCCGCUGUUCUUUGUCUCGCCCAGUGACCAGUUUACCCUGGACAUGAGUAACACACCGCCUGCUGGAUUCCAGAUCUCCACCGACUUUGAGGCAAACUACGUCCACCUCCUCUUUGCCCUCCGGGAUAGACAUAUCGGGACGUUCCUCGCCCCUUUCACGGCGCUGGUGUACAGAGCAAUGAAACUGAUCGAGGACAACUGGCAGACCCUGCUCGAUGACAUCACCAAGGGGAGACUUAACCCGGAGCUCGCGAUAUCGGACGAGAUUCGGCGUGAUUUGAAUGCCGCUCUUUCUCCAAAUCCCGAGAGAGCUGGGGAACUCCGCGCCGAGUUUUCCAAGGGAUUUGUCGGGAUCGUUUCGAGGAUGUGGCCCAACUUCAAGCACAUAUUCUCCGUUGAAAUGGGUGGAUUUCGAACUAAACUGGACAAGACCUACACGAAAGGAACGCCAAUUUACCAAGGAAUAUACAUGUGUACGGAGACCUGCAUUGGAAUGAAUUUGUGGCCGACUGAUCCGCAAGCGAAGUAUAGCCUGCUCGUCAACGAAAAUAUAUACGAGUUCAUUCGCGAGGAAAACUGCAAAGACGAAAACCCACAAACUUUGCUGAUCGACGAGGUGGAAGUUGGGCAGACGUACGAACUCGUACUCACGACUCGCUGUGGCUUGUACCGCUACCGGAAUGGCGACGUGGUCAAGGUUGUGGGCAUCCACGAGAAAUGCCCGGUCAUUAAGUUCGAAUACAGGAAAGCGGAGUUGCUGAAUCUUCGCAGUGAGAAGGUAACGGCGGUCACCAUGCAGACGGUGGUGCAGGAAUUCAUGUCCCAGCUUCCAGGAGCCAGACUUGUCAAUUGGACGUGUGCAGAAAGUCCACUGCUUUCUGAUACCAAAGGAGGUGACAGCUACGAAAUCUUCUAUCUCGUGUUUAUAGAAGUGGAAAACGUUUCACCACUUGAGAACACAACGGAAUGGGCACCAAAGUUUGACCAAGUUUUGCGGAGACAUCACCAUUUUUACAACUACCUCCGCAACAGCGCGACCCUCGCCAUGGCGCAUGUGCACCAGGUGAAGCCAGGCUCGUUCGACAAGCUGAAGGAAUUCAUCGUGGCAAACUCAUCAGCCUCUGUCAAUCAAUUUAAGUCACCACGGAAACUCCGCGAUACAGACGUCCUGGAACUGAUGAUGUCCCACAUUAUGUAAUCAGCUCAAAUUAUCGUUAAACAAAGCAAAAAUUUGGUUUACUUAAUCUGUAAUUGCGAAGAAAACACGACUUACAAAGUCUUCGUAAUAUUGAUUCAACCGUCAAUAAAUAAAAAAGUAUUUCAAAGUCAAACUAAAAUCAGUGCAAACAAUUAUGAACAAUGAGACAAAGUAAAUGUUUAAGUCAAGGUACAUGUACAUAUAAUAAUUGAAAGAAUACUU
Molecule: unclassified non-coding RNA, 2382 nt
Filed under: Patiria miniata (bat star)
Lineage: Eukaryota; Metazoa; Echinodermata; Asteroidea; Valvatida; Asterinidae
Description: probable indole-3-acetic acid-amido synthetase GH3.8, transcript variant X3
Source: RNAcentral